Molecule: ribosomal RNA, 497 nt
Filed under: uncultured bacterium
Lineage: Bacteria
Description: partial 16S ribosomal RNA
Rfam family: Bacterial small subunit ribosomal RNA
Source: RNAcentral
GAUGAACGCUGGCGGCGUGCCUAACACAUGCAAGUCGAGCGGACAGACGAGGAGCUUGCUCCUCUGACGUUAGCGGAAGACGGGUGAGUAACACGUGGAUACCCUACCUAUCUUUCUGGUAUCUUUUCGGGACACCGGCGCUAAUACCGGAUGAUCUAUUGCUCCGCAUGGGUCAAUGGUAAGAGUCGGUGUUUCUGUCACUUAUAGCUGCUUCCGCGCCGCAUUAGCUAGUUGGUAAGGUAACGGCUUACCACGGCAACGAUGCGUAGCCGACCUGAGGGGGGGAUCGGCCACACUGGAACGUAGACACGGUCCAGAGGCCUACGGUAGGCAGCAGUAGGGAAGCGGCCGCAAUGGGCGAAAGCCUGACGGAGCGGCGGCGCGUGAAAGAUGAAGGUCUUCGGAUCGGAAAACUCUGUUAUGAGGGAAGAACAAAUGUGUAAGUAACUAUGCACGGCUUGACGGUACCGAAUCAGAAAGCCACGGCUAACUACGUG